UAUCAGUGUGAGACAUCUGGGGAGGCUCCCCUUUUUUUCACCAUUUGAGGACUGAAAGUAAAUUUAGCUUCCUCAGCAGAAAGAAAAGAAGCUGUUUUGGAGGUUGGGAAGAGCUUUAGAAAAUGCGGCAUCACGUCUGUUGCCCCAUUUGAAGAAAGCAGCUCUGGAAAAGGCCUAGGACAUUAGUUGCUACAAAGUUCUAGAUCAUUCUGUGUGGUAAAGAAGUGCCUUUCACCUCCCACUGUGAUUCUGAGGCCUCCCCAGCCAUGUGGAACUGGGUCAAGCAAUGGAAUGGAAAUGUGUCAUGUCCUUUCAAGGUCAUCUGUGGAGCAAUGUUUAACAGCCUGCCCAAGAAAUAUUUAAUUACCUAGAGGAAAUCAUCCAUCCCACUGAUGCAAAAAGAAGGUGGUUUCCAUUUUCACUCUGGAUCUAUCUAAUUGACUAUUUAAUUGAUGUGGACUUUAGUAGAGGCAGUGAUUGCUUCCAGUUGGUGGGCCCAGGAAGACUGUGAAAAAGGAGUCACAGAAGGCCUGGAAUGGCUGCGAUGGAGAUAAAGGAUGAAGGGUAGUCCCCUCAGGGUGUUAUCCAAAAAGUCACCUUGGAAGAGGAAGAAACUCCUACCAAUAUCAGAAGAGCAACAAACAUUUUUUUUUCUAGAAGAUAAGUGGCUAAUUUCAAAAUAAUUAUUUUAUCAACUGCCA
Molecule: long non-coding RNA, 701 nt
Filed under: Homo sapiens (human)
Lineage: Eukaryota; Metazoa; Chordata; Mammalia; Primates; Hominidae
Description: KCNMA1 antisense RNA 3
Source: RNAcentral